GACGAACGCUGGCGGCGUGCUUAACACAUGCAAGUCGAACGGAAAGGCCCUGCUUUUGUGGGGUGCUCGAGUGGCGAACGGGUGAGUAACACGUGAGUAACCUGCCCUUGACUUUGGGAUAACUUCAGGAAACUGGGGCUAAUACCGGAUAGGAGCUCCUGCUGCAUGGUGGGGGUUGGAAAGUUUCGGCGGUUGGGGAUGGACUCGCGGCUUAUCAGCUUGUUGGUGGGGUAGUGGCUUACCAAGGCUUUGACGGGUAGCCGGCCUGAGAGGGUGACCGGCCCCAUUGGGCCUGAGAUACGGCCCAGACUCCUACGGGAGGCAGCAGUGGGGAAUAUUGCACAGUGGGCGGAAGCCUGAUGCGGCAACGCCGCGUGCGGGAUGACGGCCUUCGGGUUGUAAACCGCUUUCGCCUGUGACGAAGCGUGAGUGACGGUAAUGGGUAAAGAAGCACCGGCUAACUACGUG
RNAcentral lists this ribosomal RNA (468 nucleotides) under uncultured bacterium. RNAcentral's name for it is "partial 16S ribosomal RNA". It matches the Rfam family "Bacterial small subunit ribosomal RNA", at positions 28 to 507 of the family's 1533-position model. The record is from RNAcentral.